Molecule: small RNA, 269 nt
Filed under: Arabidopsis thaliana (thale cress)
Lineage: Eukaryota; Viridiplantae; Streptophyta; Magnoliopsida; Brassicales; Brassicaceae
Description: ATSL272830
Source: RNAcentral
GUGGUGAAGUGAAUAAGAUAAUCCAAGUAUGUAUAUGGUAAGCAUGAGUUCAAAAACAAUGCAUAGACACGAUAAUUGCAAAUUAAGUUCUAGUUCUAAUAGAUAGGGAAUGGCAUCAGAUUAGCGAGUUUUGAAUUAAGGCAAGAUAGUCAAGAUGUAAAUUCAAAGCAGGGUGCGGUCUUACUUCAGAGAUACAAUCGUUUAUGCAACAGAGAACUAACAACCUGGGCAUUGAACUUACUUCGCCGAAUCAAACAUGCUUAAAGGCU